RNAcentral lists this unclassified non-coding RNA (608 nucleotides) under Melitaea cinxia (Glanville fritillary). RNAcentral's name for it is "misc RNA ENSMCXG00005000711.1". The record is from RNAcentral. Lineage: Eukaryota; Metazoa; Arthropoda; Insecta; Lepidoptera; Nymphalidae.
UAAAUAGCGGCAGCGCGCAGUCGGCCAGCUAUCGGCCGGUUCGUGAGAGCGCGCUGGCAGCGCUUUGCAAUUCCCUCUCGAUCGUGUGCCGUGUACCCUUCGUGAGUUGUUGAUCGAGAGUAAGCUCGGACACUGUAGGUAGAAAGCCUGAAACUCGUUUGGUAUCUCGUCAGACCAUUACUUCGCCGAGUGCUAAAUUUUUUAGUGUGUAUCGUGUAGUGCAACCGUAAACCAUUAUGAAUACUGUCCGAUUCCUUUAGAAGAACUUGUAUCCUGACUCUUAACGAAGAUACGUGGAACUGAAGGAGGAUAUCCAUACCUAAUUCGAAGCUUUACGUCGCGUUUGUUAGAGGAGCUUAUAACAUUCCAGUACUGGGCAUAGGCCUCUUUCUCGAUGUGGGAGAAGGGUCUUUUUUCAUGCGGGGAAAAUAUAUUUUAUAAAUAAUAAUUUAAAUAUUGUUUUUCGUAAAAGUCGAAGGAUUUUUUCUGAUUAAAAUAACAUCGAAUAGUCUUUUCAAGUCGGAUGGGGCGGAAACGUGUGUCACGAUGAGCUAGCGGUAUGGUGGGCGAGGGGGCGGGCCGCGGCGCCGCGCGCUGGCACGUGGGCG